CAGGCUGACAUGGGAGCCUCUCCCUCUCAGUGGUCAGGGCUCCCGCUGUCAGCCCUCCACAGGUGACUGUGGCACCCGCUGGGAGCCCCAGGGUGGACAGACAGUGAGUGGGUGCUCCAGCAAGCUCAAGAAGUUUAUAUCAUUGGUCUGAGCAUCAAGAUUAGGCACAUCAAGCUGACAUCUUGUAUCCUAUGUUUCAGCUGAAUGCCUUUUGAAACAGCCAAGAAUUUCACUCUAGAUAUUACUGCUUGUGAAGAUUAUAGAAUUGGCAGCAAAGAAAACAAAUAUCCUCUGUUUAUCCACAGGCAAUCAGUGCAGACAUCCUGAAUGGUUUGUUUUGAUAUUGCUUCAACAAAAGCCCAGCCCUGGGAUGAAGGUGUCUGUGUGAACUAGAAUUGCAGUCCCCAUGGUAAAAAGUCGGGGCUUCACCUUCUGAGUCAAUGGUCCCUGCUCUGUUCAUUUAGCUUUACCUGGCAUGGUAAAAAUGUUACAUUCAGGAUGUGUUUUUUUU
Molecule: long non-coding RNA, 511 nt
Organism: Mauremys mutica (yellowpond turtle)
Lineage: Eukaryota; Metazoa; Chordata; Testudines; Geoemydidae
Exons: 4
Source: RefSeq, a predicted model, not a curated record